CAGGCAGACUUUGCAGUGCCUCUGUGUGUGACUGCCUUCGCCAGCAGUUUGAGGGACUUCGCAGGGAAAAGGCCGUGCAGUGAGGCGUAGGGGAUUGUGUGCAGCAGGACGACACCUCUCUCAUUAGGUGGUCCACCUUCCCUGUGGCCGACAUGGUUGCUGUAUGGACAGUGGAGAGGACACAGACCUUUCGGUUUUCAUGCCACUUUACUGCCAGCUGUUGACCCUUCUAUUUGAACCUUCCCUCUCUGCAUCUUCCUGCCUCCGAAUGCUGGCAUCCCCUUCCUGUUCGACCUGACUGUGACACAAGCCCUGUGCUGUUGGAGAGGAGAUGCUGGAAGAGUGUGGGACUGCUGUACCAAUUGUCCACAUACAAAGUGUGUCCCUUGUCGAGAUGAGGAGCCAGCAUGGUCAUCACCACGGACCCGGACACUCCAAGCCCCUCAUAAUGUUGGAUGUCAGUGGUGGACCCUGUGUAAACUAUAAUGUAAUGGACAAAUCCUGUCACGUCGCACGUAACAAAGAACUUGACCCCAAACCUGUGGGUUUUGGAGGGAAUAUCUUGCCAGCCUACCCUUCCAUAACAUCAGGGACUCAUCAAUGCAUGCGUCCUUGUAUGGCACAAAGACCCAACCAAAUGCUGAUGUCAGGCUGGUUCAAGGUAUAGUGAUUGGUCUCCUCUACUAUGUCUACCACCAGCUCCUCUGUCAGAAAGCUUGAAACACACUGCCUCAGAGAGAAAUGGCAAGUGGCUUUGUACUCCAGACUGGGACUCAUCAACGCAAACAGCAGGGCCCGGAGGGGUGAAAUGGCUGGCAGCCUUCCAGCUUCCACAGAACUCCUGUACUUCAUCCACUGUCGGUCUGCAUCCAUCACCACCAGCAUCUUCAAAGGGACCUGGAUCUUCGGCAGUGGACAAGUGGUCCUCAGAUUUAGGGUUCUCAAUGGCUACAAGGUUGGGGUGCUCACUGUCAUUGUCAGAAUCUGAUUCCUUACUUUCAUUCUCAGACUCAUUGUCAUAAUUUAUGAUCAUCUCCAGAAUUACUGUAUUUGUGAGUUGUGUCCUUUUGAAAGUCAUUGCUAAUGCUCUAGCUUAGCACACUAGCUAGAUACAUAAACAACAACACUGAAUGGCUCAGGGUGGGUGUCAGAGGUUAUGUGAUUGACUGCUGGCACGCUCCACUUGUAUCAAUAAGUCACUAUCAGAAAAUGUUUUGUUUUGGUCAAUAUUUACUGUUUUAUUCACGUUUAAGUACUGGUGACAAAUCAUGAAUUCCGAUUCUUGCAUAGAUUGUAAUGGACACAUACGUAUGACGUGUUUAAAUACUUUUUAAAAGUUUGUACUGAUUAUGAUGAGCUAAGCUAAUUCCAGCUAUGUGUGGAGCCAUGUCUGUUGACACACAAUGCAUUCUGGGUUUCACAUAAAUGUCUGUCAGACCAAAGAUGUUAUAACAACAUGAAGUGAGGGAGGGUUCACUCAUAUUUCGAGUAAACUUCCGGAAGCGAAUGAUGGGAUGUGAAUAAUGGUAGACGACACAGCCCCUUCAACAUGCAUUCUGCAAACAGACCAAACUCAUCUUGUCUCAUCUUAUUAUCUUUGGUUCAAGUGAAAAAACAAACUUGGCGGCGCGCACUAACUACCCAUCGUCGGAUUACUUUUGAUUUCUAGAAAGUAUUUUACUCAAUUAUUUCAAUCAAUGUUGAGCUCACCCGUGAUGAGACGAAUUAUACAUAUAAUUGCUAUUAGCUAAUUCACAUUGUGGUUUCUUUCAGCCGAAAGUUAUCUAAAUAUGAUCGCUUGUGUUAUGUCAAUCUUUCCUCAGUUCCCGAGGACUAAUGAACCUACAUUUUCCAGUUUGGAUGAUGGUGUUAUGCUGUAGCUACUUCUGUGAAGGUCUGAACAUUGGAUCCAAAAAUAAAUCUUGUCACAUUCAGGACAUAA
Molecule: long non-coding RNA, 1942 nt
Organism: Oncorhynchus nerka (sockeye salmon)
Lineage: Eukaryota; Metazoa; Chordata; Actinopteri; Salmoniformes; Salmonidae
Exons: 3
Source: RefSeq, a predicted model, not a curated record